This 352-nucleotide unclassified non-coding RNA is filed under the name soil metagenome. RNAcentral describes it as "partial contains 5.8S ribosomal RNA, internal transcribed spacer 2, and large subunit ribosomal RNA". The stretch from base 1 to 120 matches the Rfam family "5.8S ribosomal RNA", at positions 35 to 154 of the family's 154-position model. The record is from RNAcentral.
GAUGAAGAACGUAGCGAAAUGCGAUAAGUAAUGUGAAUUGCAGAAUUCAGUGAAUCAUCGAAUCUUUGAACGCACAUUGCGCCCGCCAGUAUUCUGGCGGGCAUGCCUGUUCGAGCGUCAUUACAACCCUCAGGCCCCCGGGCCUGGCGUUGGGGAUCGGCGGAGCCCCCCGUGGGCACACGCCGUCCCCCAAAUGCAGUGGCGGUCCCGCCGCAGCUUCCAUCGCGUAGUAGCUAACACCUCGCGACUGGAGAGCGGCGCGGCCACGCCGUAAAACACCCAACUCUUCUGAAGUUGACCUCGAAUCAGGUAGGAAUACCCGAUGAACUUAAGCAUAUCAAUAAGCGGAGGA